Molecule: ribosomal RNA, 492 nt
Filed under: uncultured bacterium
Lineage: Bacteria
Description: partial 16S ribosomal RNA
Rfam family: Bacterial small subunit ribosomal RNA
Source: RNAcentral
AGUGAACGCUGGCGGUAGGCCUAACACAUGCAAGUCGAACGGCAGCACAGUAAGAGCUUGCUCUUACGGGUGGCGAGUGGCGGACGGGUGAGGAAUACAUCGGAAUCUACUUUUUCGUGGGGGAUAACGUAGGGAAACUUACGCUAAUACCGCAUACGACCUACGGGUGAAAGCAGGGGAUCUUCGGACCUUGCGCGAUUGAAUGAUCCGAUGUCGGAUUAGCUAGUUGGCGGGGUAAAGGCCCACCAAGGCGACGAUCCGUAGCUGGUCUGAGAGGAUGAUCAGCCAAACUGGAACUGAGACACGGUCCAGAAUCCUACGGGAGGCAGCAGUGGGGAAUAUUGGACAAUGGGGGCAAGCCUGAUCCAGCCAUACCGCGUGGGUGAAGAAGGCCUUCGGGUUGUAAAGCCCUUUUGUUGGGAAAGAAAAGCAGCAGGUUAAUACCCCGCUGUUCUGACGGUAACCAAAGAAUAAGCACCGGCUAACUUCGUG